UAUAAGUACAUUUUAGUAUGCAGUAACUUUAAUCAUAUAAAGCAUAAUUUCCCAACAACAACAUUGUGGCCAGUGAAAAUGCUGAGUGGCUAGACAUUUUAUCGAUCAUUUC
Sinocyclocheilus anshuiensis is the source of this 112-nucleotide long non-coding RNA. RefSeq lists it as uncharacterized. The transcript is spliced from 4 exons. NCBI's taxonomy places the organism in Eukaryota, Metazoa, Chordata, Actinopteri, Cypriniformes, Cyprinidae. The record is from RefSeq and is a predicted model, not a curated record.